Non-coding RNA from Podarcis lilfordi (Lilford's wall lizard), 76 nucleotides. Lineage: Eukaryota; Metazoa; Chordata; Lepidosauria; Squamata; Lacertidae. The record is from the annotation of a GenBank genome assembly.
UCUGGGAUAGCUCAGUCGGUAGAGCGUGAGACUCUUAAUCUCAGGGACAUGGGUUCGAGUGCUACAUUGGCCAAAU